UGGGGAAUUUUGGACAAUGGACGAAAGUCUGAUCCAGCCAUGCCGCGUGCGGGAAGAAGGCCUUCGGGUUGUAAACCGCUUUUGUCAGGGAAGAAAUCCUUUGAGCUAAUACCUCGGGGGGAUGACGGUACCUGAAGAAUAAGCACCGGCUAACUACGUGCCAGCAGCCGCGGUAAUACGUAGGGUGCAAGCGUUAAUCGGAAUUACUGGGCGUAAAGCGUGCGCAGGCGGUCUUGCAAGACAGGUGUGAAAUCCCCGGGCUUAACCUGGGAACUGCACUUGUGGCUGCAAGGCUGGAGUACGGCAGAGGGGGAUGGAAUUCCGCGUGUAGCAGUGAAAUGCGUAGAUAUGCGGAGGAACACCGAUGGCGAAGGCAAUCCCCUGGGCCUGUACUGACGCUCAUGCACGAAAGCGUGGGGAGCAAACAGGAUUAGAUACCCUGGUAGUCCACGCCCUAAACGAUGUCAACUGGUUGUUGGACGGCUUGCUGUUCAGUAACGAAGCUAACGCGUGAAGUUGACNGCCUGGGGAGUACGGCCGCAAGGUUG
Molecule: ribosomal RNA, 548 nt
Filed under: uncultured bacterium
Lineage: Bacteria
Description: bacterial SSU rRNA
Rfam family: Bacterial small subunit ribosomal RNA
Source: RNAcentral